RNAcentral lists this RNase P RNA (337 nucleotides) under Candidatus Saccharimonadota bacterium. RNAcentral's name for it is "RNase P RNA component class A". It matches the Rfam family "Bacterial RNase P class A". Rfam says of the family: Ribonuclease P (RNase P) is a ubiquitous endoribonuclease, found in archaea, bacteria and eukarya as well as chloroplasts and mitochondria. Lineage: Bacteria; Candidatus Saccharimonadota. The record is from RNAcentral.
GCAGUUCAUUAGGUAAUCGCUUGUACUUUCGAGUAUAAGAGGAAAGUCCGGGCAGCGUAGGGCAAUGGCAGUCGCUAACGGCGACCGGAGGUGACUCUAGGGAAAGUGCCACAGAAACGAAACUACCUAAUUUAUUGGGAAAAGAUGAAACGAGUGAGGUAAGAGCUCACAGCAUUCCAUGGCGACAUGGAGUGGAGGUAAACCCUGCCAGCUGCAAGGAGAUCUGCAUUAAGGGCGGCCCGUCCGCAGGUCGAUAUCCGCUUGACCUUAUAGGCAACUAUUCGGCUAGAUAGAUGAUUACCCUCGACAGAACCCGGCUUAUCGAUGUACUGCCUAC